AUUGAACGCUGGCGGCAUGCUUUACACAUGCAAGUCGAACGGCAACGCGGCUCAGGCUGGCGGCGAGUGGCGAACGGGUGAGUAAUAUAUCGGAACGUACCCGGACGUGGGGGAUAACGAGGCGAAAGCUACGCUAAUACCGCAUACGAUCUACGGAUGAAAGCGGGGGAUCGCAAGGCCUUACGCGUUCGGAGCGGCCGAUUGCUGAUUAGGUAGUUGGUGGGGUAAAGGCCUACCAAGGCGACGAUCUGUAGCUGGUCUGAGAGGAAGAACAGCCACAAUGGGACUGGGGAAAGGCCCAGAACUCCUAGGGGAGGAGCAAGGGGGAAAUUUUGAAAAAGGGGGGAAAGCUUGUCCAGGAAAUGCGGGGUGGUGAAGAAGGGCCUUGGGGUUGUAAGCUGUUUUUGUAGGGAACAAAAAGCCGACGUUAAAAACAUGGGCGAAAGACGGUAACCGUAAGAUAAGGACCGGGUAACCUCGGU
RNAcentral lists this ribosomal RNA (482 nucleotides) under uncultured bacterium. RNAcentral describes it as "partial 16S ribosomal RNA". It matches the Rfam family "Bacterial small subunit ribosomal RNA", at positions 29 to 507 of the family's 1533-position model. The record is from RNAcentral.